Phrynosoma platyrhinos (Desert horned lizard) is the source of this 75-nucleotide non-coding RNA. The record is from the annotation of a GenBank genome assembly. Lineage: Eukaryota; Metazoa; Chordata; Lepidosauria; Squamata; Phrynosomatidae.
GCCAGUGUGGUGUAGUGGUUUGAGCACUGGACUACGACUCAGGAGACUCUGGAGAUUCAAAUCCUUCCCUAGUCA